This 470-nucleotide ribosomal RNA is filed under the name uncultured bacterium. RNAcentral describes it as "bacterial SSU rRNA". It matches the Rfam family "Bacterial small subunit ribosomal RNA", at positions 29 to 524 of the family's 1533-position model. The record is from RNAcentral.
AACGAACGCUGGCGGCAUGCCUAACACAUGCAAGUCGAACGAGACCUUCGGGUCUAGUGGCGCACGGGUGCGUAACGCGUGGGAAUCUGCCCUUGGGUUCGGAAUAACAGUUAGAAAUGACUGCUAAUACCGGAUAAUGUCUUCGGACCAAAGAUUUAUCGCCCAGGGAUGAGCCCGCGUAGGAUUAGCUAGUUGGUGAGGUAAAGGCUCACCAAGGCGACGAUCCUUAGCUGGUCUGAGAGGAUGAUCAGCCACACCGGGACUGAGACACGGCCCAGACUCCUACGGGAGGCAGCAGUGGGGAAUAUUGGACAAUGGGCGAAAGCCUGAUCCAGCAAUGCCGCGUGCAGGAAGAAGCAUCUAUGGUGUGUAAACUGCUUUUGUACGGGAAGAAACACUCCUACGUGUAGGAGCUUGACGGUACCGUAAGAAUAAGGAUCGGCUAACUCCGUGCCAGCAGCCGCGGUAAU